This 373-nucleotide long non-coding RNA is filed under the name Capsella grandiflora. Its description in RNAcentral is "long non-coding RNA (CGRA_LNC000919)". The record is from RNAcentral. Lineage: Eukaryota; Viridiplantae; Streptophyta; Magnoliopsida; Brassicales; Brassicaceae.
UUGAAUGAAGAAGGAAAGCUUACUACAGAAUCUGACAACAUGAGUAUUGGCUUUCCUGUGAGGAUGCCACAGACACUUGGGGAGCUGAUAAUGAUGAGCCGAAGGAGAAGCUAUAUGAGAAGAGCUGUUGAAAUGAGAAAGCAGAAUCCUUACAAGGUAAAACUCUCAAAUUUUUUUUUUCAUAGCCUCUUCCAAAGCCAAAUACACAGUAACAGUGUAUCACGCUCAUACCUAAAUUCAAUCGCGAGAAAAGAUUCUGAAAUGUUAACACUUGCCUGGAUAAACUAGCAGGAAUUUACAAAGAAUGGAGCUGAUAGCUGCUGCCUCUUUGUGCCGGGCAUCAAAAUGAUAGAAGGACUUGAGUGGAAAAAAU